UUAAGUUAAUAAGGGCGCACGGUGGAUGCCUUGGCACUAGAAGCCGAUGAAGGACGUGACUAACGACGAAAUGCUUUGGGGAGCUGUAAGUGAGCAAUGAUCCAGAGAUGUCCGAAUGGGGGAACCCGGCAGGUAAUGCCUGUCACUCAUUACUGUUAAGGUAAUGUAGAGGAAGACGCAGUGAACUGAAACAUCUAAGUAGCUGUAGGAAGAGAAAGCAAAAGCGAUUGCCUUAGUAGCGGCGAGCGAAACGGCAAGAGGGCAAACCGAAGAGUUUACUCUUCGGGGUUGUAGGACUGCAACGUGGACUUAAAGAUUAUAGAAGAACUACCUGGGAAGGUAGGCCAAAGAGAGUAAUAGCCUCGUAUUCGAAAUAGUCUUUAUACCUAGCAGUAUCCUGAGUACGGCGAGACACGAGAAAUCUCGUCGGAAUCUGGGAGGACCAUCUCCCAACCCUAAAUACUCUCUAGUGACCGAUAGUGAACCAGUACCGUGAGGGAAAGGUGAAAAGCACCCCGGGAGGGGAGUGAAAUAGAACCUGAAACCGUGUGCCUACAACAAGUUCGAGCCCGUUAAUGGGUGAGAGCGUGCCUUUUGUAGAAUGAACCGGCGAGUUACGAUAUGAUGCGAGGUUAAGUUGAAGAGACGGAGCCGUAGGGAAACCGAGUCUUAAUAGGGCGCAUUAGUAUCAUGUCGUAGACCCGAAACCAUGUGACCUACCCAUGAGCAGGUUGAAGGUGAGGUAAAACUCACUGGAGGACCGAACCAGGGCACGUUGAAAAGUGCUUGGAUGACUUGUGGGUAGCGGAGAAAUUCCAAACGAACUUGGAGAUAGCUGGUUCUCUCCGAAAUAGCUUUAGGGCUAGCGUCGAUGUUAAGUCUCUUGGAGGUAGAGCACUGUUUGGGUGAGGGGUCCAUCCCGGAUUACCAAUCUCAGAUAAACUCCGAAUGCCAAUGAGAUAUAAUCGGCAGUCAGACUGCGAGUGCUAAGAUCCGUAGUCGAAAGGGAAACAGCCCAGACCUACAGCUAAGGUCCCAAAAUAUAUGUUAAGUGGAAAAGGAUGUGGGGUUGCACAGACAACUAGGAUGUUAGCUUAGAAGCAGCUAUUCAUUCAAAGAGUGCGUAAUAGCUCACUAGUCGAGUGACCCUGCGCCGAAAAUGUACCGGGGCUAAAACAUAUUACCGAAGCUGUGGAUACCUUUAUAGGUAUGGUAGGAGAGCGUUCUAUGUGCGAAGAAGGUGUACCGUGAGGAGUGCUGGAGCGCAUAGAAGUGAGAAUGCCGGUAUGAGUAGCGAAAGACAGGUGAGAAUCCUGUCCACCGUAAGACUAAGGUUUCCAGGGGAAGGCUCGUCCGCCCUGGGUUAGUCGGGACCUAAGGAGAGACCGAAAGGUGUAUCCGAUGGACAACAGGUUGAUAUUCCUGUACUAGAGUAUAUAGUGAUGGAGGGACGCAGUAGGCUAACUAAACCAGACGAUUGGAAGUGUCUGGCCAAGCAGUGAGGUGUGAUAUGAGUCAAAUGCUUAUAUCUUUAACAUUGAGCUGUGAUGGGGAGCGAAGUUUAGUAGCGAAGUUAGUGAUGUCACACUGCCGAGAAAAGCUUCUAGCGUUAAUUAUACUCUACCCGUACCGCAAACCGACACAGGUAGUCGAGGCGAGUAGCCUCAGGUGAGCGAGAGAACUCUCGUUAAGGAACUCGGCAAAAUGGCCCCGUAACUUCGGGAGAAGGGGCGCUGACUGAUGGUCAGCCGCAGUGAAUAGGCCCAAGCAACUGUUUAUCAAAAACACAGCUCUCUGCUAAAUCGUAAGAUGAUGUAUAGGGGGUGACGCCUGCCCGGUGCUGGAAGGUUAAGAGGAGGGCUUAGCGUAAGCGAAGGCAUGAAUUGAAGCCCCAGUAAACGGCGGCCGUAACUAUAACGGUCCUAAGGUAGCGAAAUUCCUUGUCGGGUAAGUUCCGACCCGCACGAAAGGCGUAAUGAUUUGGGCACUGUCUCAACGAGAGACUCGGUGAAAUUUUAGUACCUGUGAAGAUGCAGGUUACCCGCGACAGGACGGAAAGACCCCAUGGAGCUUUACUGCAGUUUGAUAUUGAGUAUCUGUACCACAUGUACAGGAUAGGUAGGAGCCUAUGACCUCGGGACGCCAGUUUCGAGUGAGGCGUUGUUGGGAUACUACCCUUGUGUUAUGGCUACUCUAACCCAGAUAGGUUAUCCCUAUCGGAGACAGUGUCUGACGGGCAGUUUGACUGGGGCGGUCGCCUCCUAAAAGGUAACGGAGGCGCCCAAAGGUUCCCUCAGAAUGGUUGGAAAUCAUUCGCAGAGUGUAAAGGUAUAAGGGAGCUUGACUGCGAGAGCUACAACUCGAGCAGGGACGAAAGUCGGGCUUAGUGAUCCGGUGGUUCCGUAUGGAAGGGCCAUCGCUCA
This 2423-nucleotide ribosomal RNA is filed under the name human gut metagenome. RNAcentral's name for it is "bacterial LSU rRNA". It matches the Rfam family "Bacterial large subunit ribosomal RNA", at positions 3 to 2451 of the family's 2925-position model. The record is from RNAcentral.